Molecule: ribosomal RNA, 492 nt
Filed under: uncultured bacterium
Lineage: Bacteria
Description: partial 16S ribosomal RNA
Rfam family: Bacterial small subunit ribosomal RNA
Source: RNAcentral
AGUGAACGCUGGCGGUAGGCCUAACACAUGCAAGUCGAACGGCAGCACAGUAAGAGCUUGCUCUUACGGGUGGCGAGUGGCGGACGGGUGAGGAAUACAUCGGAAUCUACUUUUUCGUGGGGGAUAACGUAGGGAAACUUACGCUAAUACCGCAUACGACCUACGGGUGAAAGCAGAGGAUCUUCGGACCUUGCGCGAUUGAAUGAGCCGAUGUCGGAUUAGCUAGUUGGCGGGGUAAAGGCCCACCAAGGCGACGAUCCGUAGCUGGUCUGAGAGGAUGAUCAGCCACACUGGAACUGAGACACGGUCCAGACUCCUACGGGAGGCAGCAGUGGGGAAUAUUGGACAAAGGGCGCAAGCCUGAUCCAGCCAUACCGCGUGGGUGAAGAAGGCCUUCGGGUUGUAAAGCCCUUUUGUUGGGAAAGAAAAGCAGCAGGUUAAUACCCCGCUGUUCUGACGGUACCCAAAGAAUAAGCACCGGCUAACUUCGUG